Long non-coding RNA from Mus musculus (house mouse), 1209 nucleotides. RefSeq annotates it as predicted gene, 39540. The record is from RefSeq and is a predicted model, not a curated record. The transcript has 3 exons. Lineage: Eukaryota; Metazoa; Chordata; Mammalia; Rodentia; Muridae.
UCUGGAGCAACGAGAGGUAGAAUGGCUCUUUAAUGCUGACAUUGUCCUUGACUAUACCAUACCUUCAUUUCUUUCUCUCUUAUAACAUCUCACUAGCUAUGAUCCUGGUUUUACUUUCUGAUGUUUUAUAUCUUGAUUUUACUUUAUGACGUUUCAUUAUCUGUGUCUUCAAGCUCUGCUGUCAUCACACUAAGUCAAGCUUCGGUCUAACGUCAGACAAUAUUCCCGGAAUCCCUGAUGGCCUUUGUUAAUCCAUGUUAAAAUUCUCUGAAAGCAAGUCUCACUAUUGCACUCUUUAAGUUAAAGUGCUUGUAAGCAGAGAAUAACAGACUGCAGAAUGCUCACCCCUAAAUGGGACCUCUAUAUCACGUCCCCUUUUCAAGUCUCAGUAAUCAUUGUACAAGGGGUGGAAAGAUGUAAGAGUCAGGGGUGGUGGAUGAAUACAGGAAAAUAGUGUCUUCUGCACAUACCAGGGGAAGCUGCAUGUCUGAAUUCACAGAUAUCUUGUUACCAUGCAUAAACCUGUGUAAGCUCGAGCCAGACUGUAUCCCAGCAUGCAAAAAGGAAGGGGGUAUGAGCCCCCAGUCCUAGUGAAAGAGCUGUUGGCAAUAGACAGCUGCUGGGAGGGGAGAACCCACUCUUUUUAUUUAUUUAUUUGUUUGUUUGUUUGUUUCUUUCUUUCUUUAAGACAAGAUUUCUCUGUGUAGCCCUGCUGUCCUGGAACUCACUCUGUAGACCCGGAAGGCUGGCAAUGAAUUCAGAGUUUGCCUGCCUUUGCCUGGAUUAAAGGGUUCCUGUCUGUAGUCCUAGAACUUUCUCUGUAGACCAGGCUAGCCUUGAACCCAGAGGUUUGUCUGCAUCUGCCUCCAGUGCUGGGAUUAAAUGUGUGCUCUACCAUGGCCCACAGCUGUGGUCACCUGCAAGAGACCUGUACAAGACCGGUAAAAGAGCAAGCCAGUGAACCUUCCAGCAUGGAUGGACGAGGCUCCUUUCCAGUUGAAGAGCUAUUAGAAGUUGAUACCUGCCAAGGAAUUGUCAAUUUUCUUGCAGGUGCAUACUAUGCACAUGUGGGUAGGACCAAUUGGACUCUGAAUCACAAAAAUGUGUGGGAUACGAUGGGGCUUUAGAGGACAGAUGUUGAUAUGAGGGUGGAUAUGACCCAUAUUCAUUGGUACAUAUAUGAAAGUAUAAAAUAAAAAUAAAAAACUG